UAGAGUUUGAUCCUGGCUCAGGACGAACGCUGGCGGCGUGCUUAACACAUGCAAGUCACGGGGGCUCGCAAGGGCAACCGGCGAACGGGUGCGUAACACGUGAGCAAUCUGCCGAUUUCUGGGGGAUAGCCGGCCCAACGGCCGGGUAAUACCGCAUACGUUCUCGAGGGGGAGUCCCCUUGGGAAGAAACCUCCGGGGGAAAUCGAGGAGCUCGCGGCCUAUCAGCUAGUUGGCGGUGUAAUGGACCACCAAGGCUAUGACGGGUAGCUGGUCUGAGAGGAUGGCCAGCCACAUUGGGACUGAGAGACGGCCCAGACUCCUACGGGAGGCAGCAGUGGGGAAUCUUGCGCAAUGGCCGAAAGGCUGACGCAGCGACGCCGCGUGUGGGAUGAAGCAUUUCGGUGUGUAAACCACUGUUGCCCGGGACGAACAGCUUCUUUCGAGGAGCCUGACGGUACCGGGUGAGGAAGCACCGGCUAACUCCGUGCCAGCAGCCGCGGUACGC
This 506-nucleotide ribosomal RNA is filed under the name uncultured bacterium. RNAcentral describes it as "bacterial SSU rRNA". It matches the Rfam family "Bacterial small subunit ribosomal RNA", at positions 1 to 525 of the family's 1533-position model. The record is from RNAcentral.